Molecule: long non-coding RNA, 988 nt
Organism: Hydra vulgaris (swiftwater hydra)
Lineage: Eukaryota; Metazoa; Cnidaria; Hydrozoa; Anthoathecata; Hydridae
Source: RefSeq, a predicted model, not a curated record
GUUUUAUAUAUUAUUUUUUAAAUAAAAUUGCUCGCGCAUUAAGGCAAUUACAUUUUUUCCAUUGAAUACUGAUACACAAUUUGAGACUAAGUACCGGAACUGGUUAAAUAGCAAUGUCAAGCAUGUAGAGAACUGUCAGAUUCACCUGGUAAUAUUUAGAACUAAAUAAUAAUAUAUGCAUAAAAUAAUAAUCAUUUAGUGUUAUUUGUCUUCUGUACAAUUGUAGUUUUGUCAACGUCAAUAUAUAAAUGUUAUCUUUAUUAUGUUGAUAUUUAAAUGCCAUGUUUAGUGUGAUAUGUAAAAAAAUGAGUGUAUAUUUCACCUCCGGCAACUCCUACGCAAGAAAUUAUAAAUGAGUGUCUAAUCGUGAAGUUAUACUGCCCUUCUAAAAAGAAUUGGAUAAAUUUUUAUAAUGCCUUUAAUAUACAGGACAAGAGAGACCUACAGUGGAAAUUUCUUGUUGAUCGUACUAGACAAAGAAAAAUAAUUGGAAAAAACUCUGCAGCCAAAAAUUCCACAGAUGAACAAAAUAAAAUACUCAGUAGUAAAUGGAGUAGUACUGCAGGGUGGUUGCUAUAAUAUUAAUGAAGAGCCUGUUCUGUUAUUACAAUGCAAGUUAUCGUUACGUUAUAGUAUUAUUUUUUUUUUACUUUAGUUAAUCGUUAUGCAAACGAUGAAGCGUUAAUCGUUAUCGUUAUCGUUAUGCAAACGAUGAAGCGUUAAUCGUUAUGCAAACGAUUGAGAAUAGCAGCAACAACACUUGGUUAAAAAACCACUUCAACCACUUCAACCACUUCGUCAACCACUUCAACCACUUCAACCACUUCAACCACUUUGUCAACAACCACAUCCUCGACAACUGCUGCUGUAGUUAAUGAUUUGUCAUAUCAGGCUUUCUUAGCAUACCGGAGAGAAAACAAUGGACCCACAUCCCAUAGGGCUCAUGGGAUGUGGGUCCGAAACGGCGGCCGCUACUACCCCUAUCCCU